AUUGAACGCUGGCGGCAUGCCUAACACAUGCAAGUCGAACGGCAGCACGGUCUAGCUUGCUAGAUGGGUGGCGAGUGGCGAACGGGUGAGUAACGCGUAGGAAUAUGCCUUGAAGUGGGGGACAACUUGGGGAAACUCAAGCUAAUACCGCAUAAUUUCUUAGGAAAAAAGCUGGGGACCUUAGGGCCUGGCGCUUCAAGAUUAGCUUGCGUACGAUUAGCUAGUUGGUAGGGUAAGAGCCUACCAAGGCGACGAUCGUUAGCUGGUCUGAGAGGAUGGCCAGCCAAACUGGAACUGAGACACGGUCCAGACUCCUACGGGAGGCAGCAGUGGGGAAUAUUGGACAAUGGGGGCAACCCUGAUCCAGCAAUGCCGCGUGUGUGAAGAAGGCCUGAGGGUUGUAAAGCACUUUCAGUGGGGAGGAGGAUUGCCAGGUUAAGAGCUAGGUAAUUGGACGUUACCCACAGAAGAAGCACCGGCUAACUCCGUGCCAGCAGCCGCCGUAA
RNAcentral lists this ribosomal RNA (506 nucleotides) under uncultured bacterium. Its description in RNAcentral is "partial 16S ribosomal RNA". It matches the Rfam family "Bacterial small subunit ribosomal RNA", at positions 30 to 523 of the family's 1533-position model. The record is from RNAcentral.